CCUACGGGAGGCAGCAGUGGGGAAUUUUGCGCAAUGCUCGUAAGAGUGACGCAGCGACGCCGCGUGAAUGACGAAGGCCUUCGGGUCGUAAAGUUCUUUCGACAGGGAAGAAAAUGCUUAUAAGUAACUGUGUAUGUAUUGACGGUACCUGUAUAAGCAGCCCCGGCUAACUCCGUGCCAGCAGCCGCGGUAAUACGGGGGGUGCAAGCGUUGUCCGGAAUCAUUGGGCGUAAAGAGUUCGUAGGCGGCACGUAAAGUCUGGUGUUAAAGGCAGAGGCUCAACUUCUGUACGGCACUGGAUACUUGCGAGCUAGAAUGCGGUAGAGGUAAAGGGAAUGCCUGGUGUAGCGGUGAAAUGCUUAGAUAUCAGGAAGAACAUCGGUGGCGUAAGCGCUUUACUGGGCCGUAAUUGACGCUGAGGAACGAAAGCCAGGGUAGCAAAUGGGAUUAGAUACCCGAGUAGUC
Molecule: ribosomal RNA, 465 nt
Filed under: uncultured bacterium
Lineage: Bacteria
Description: partial 16S ribosomal RNA
Rfam family: Bacterial small subunit ribosomal RNA
Source: RNAcentral